CCAAAAAACUACAAAUCCCUGCAUCCUCCGCGACGAGGGCGGGAGAGGCGUGGUACUGAGCGUUCUGGUGCUGUUUGGUUGGAGAUGGAAACCAACAAAGGGAAGGGCUGGGGUUCUACUGCGCCUUUUCGGUGCUGGGCGCUUCACACGUUACGCACGUUCUUUAUCUAAUCUUCACGACAACCCUGCGAGGCACUAUUGUAUCCAGCCGACUACUUGCCAGAGAUCACAACCGCCCGGGUGGUCGAGAUGGGAUUGAACCCAGAGCCCUGAGAAUUUCACUCAUUAAGCGCUGCCUAGCUGUAGGACUGAAGACCUUGGCUUUUGCUGGCUGUCCACUGGAGACUGUCCUCAAUUCCUAGGUGGCACCUGGCAUUCAUGGGCCAGCACGGCCACUUACUUCAUCAAGUCAGCAAGGAGAGUCUCCAGAGCAAACCUGCUAGCAAGAUGGAAUCUCAUAUAACACAAGGCGUACGUACACAGAGGAAGAUCAUGUGAAGGCACAGAGAGAAGAUGGCCGUCUACAAGCCAACGAGAGAGACCUCAGAAGAAACCAACCCUGCUGACACCUUGAUCUCAGACUUCUAGCUUCUGGAUUUGUGGAAAAAUAAAUUUCUAUUGUUUAAGCCACCCAGUCUGUGAUACUUU
Molecule: long non-coding RNA, 648 nt
Organism: Globicephala melas (long-finned pilot whale)
Lineage: Eukaryota; Metazoa; Chordata; Mammalia; Artiodactyla; Delphinidae
Source: RefSeq, a predicted model, not a curated record